AGCAGCCGCGGUAAUUCCAGCUCCAAUAGCGUAUAUUAAAGUUGUUGCAGUUAAAAAGCUCGUAGUUGAAUUUCGAGACCGGUUUACUGGUCGUGCUUUUGUACGUACUGGUAUUAUUGGUUUCUCCUUUCUGACGAAUCAUAAUGCCAUUAAUUUGGUGUUUUGGGGAAUCAGGACUGUUACUUUGAAAAAAUUAGAGUGUUUAAAGCAGGCUCACGCUUGAAUACAUUAGCAUGGAAUAACGAAAUAGGACGUUUGAUUUUAUUUUGUUGGUUUCUAGGAUCGACGUAAUGAUUAAUAGGGAUAGUUGGGGGCAUUAGUAUUCAAUUGUCAGAGGUGAAAUUCUUGGAUUUAUUGAAGACUAACUACUGCGAAAGCAUUUGCCAAGGAUGUUUUCAUUAAUCAAGAACGAAAGUUAGGGGAUCGAAGACGAUCAGAUACCGUCGUAGUCUUAACCAUAAACUAUGCCGACUAGGGAUCGGAUGAUGUUAAUUUUUAAUGACUCAUUCGGCGCC
RNAcentral lists this ribosomal RNA (515 nucleotides) under uncultured Glomus. RNAcentral's name for it is "SSU rRNA". It matches the Rfam family "Eukaryotic small subunit ribosomal RNA", at positions 569 to 1087 of the family's 1831-position model. Lineage: Eukaryota; Fungi; Glomeromycota; Glomeromycetes; Glomerales; Glomeraceae. The record is from RNAcentral.